UGGCUUAUUUUCACUUAUAUCCAAAGACUGUAUAAGAUAUCAACAAAUUAUUUUUACUAAAUUGUUAGUUGCGACAUGUUGUAAGAUGUAAAUUUUGAUUGCAAGCGUACGUUGAAUGUAAAAGGGAGUUUUCUCCCCUCUUGUAUUUAAAAAUACGCGUUUGGUGAUAUAACUCAUUAACUAAAUAUAAUAAAGACCUAUGGUCUUUUGAUUUGAGGUCCUUGGUUUAUGACCUUGAAAUUGAUCUCAAGGUCAUAGCUUAAUUUGACGUUUUAGAUUUUGACCUUUGCUUUUAUUCUAUAUGUAUACAUGAUAAAGAUAUACAACUUUUAGAAAAAG
RNAcentral lists this long non-coding RNA (339 nucleotides) under Mytilus galloprovincialis (Mediterranean mussel). Lineage: Eukaryota; Metazoa; Mollusca; Bivalvia; Mytilida; Mytilidae. The record is from RNAcentral.